This 423-nucleotide ribosomal RNA is filed under the name uncultured bacterium. RNAcentral's name for it is "bacterial SSU rRNA". It matches the Rfam family "Bacterial small subunit ribosomal RNA", at positions 359 to 773 of the family's 1533-position model. The record is from RNAcentral.
GAAUUGUUCGCAAUGGGCGCAAGCCUGACGACGCAACGCCGCGUGGAGGAUGAAGACCCUCGGGUCGUAAACUCCUUUCGACCGAGAUGAACAUCUCCGGGGCUAAUAUCUCCGGAGACUGACAGUAUCGAGGGAAGAAGCCCCGGCUAACUCCGUGCCAGCAGCCGCGGUAAUACGGGGGGGGCAAGCGUUGUUCGGAAUUACUGGGCGUAAAGGGUUCGUAGGUGGCCAGCUAAGUCAGACGUGAAAUCCCUCAGCUUAACUGAGGAACUGCGUCUGAUACUGGUUGGCUUGAGUGCAGGAGAGGAACGCGGAAUUCCAGGUGUAGCGGUGAAAUGCGUAGAUAUCUGGAGGAACACCGGUGGCGAAGGCGGCGUUCUGGACUGCAACUGACACUGAGGAACGAAAGCCAGGGGAGCAAAC